This 413-nucleotide ribosomal RNA is filed under the name uncultured prokaryote. Its description in RNAcentral is "bacterial SSU rRNA". It matches the Rfam family "Bacterial small subunit ribosomal RNA", at positions 505 to 918 of the family's 1533-position model. The record is from RNAcentral.
GUGCCAGCCGCCGCGGUAAUACGUAGGGUGCGAGCGUUAAUCGGAAUUACUGGGCGUAAAGCGUGCGCAGGCGGUUUUGUAAGACAGAGGUGAAAUCCCCGGGCUCAACCUGGGAACUGCCUUUGUGACUGCAAGGCUAGAGUGCGGCAGAGGGGGAUGGAAUUCCGCGUGUAGCAGUGAAAUGCGUAGAUAUGCGGAGGAACACCGAUGGCGAAGGCAAUCCCCUGGGCCUGCACUGACGCUCAUGCACGAAAGCGUGGGGAGCAAACAGGAUUAGAUACCCUGGUAGUCCACGCCCUAAACGAUGUCAACUGGUUGUUGGGUCUUCACUGACUCAGUAACGAAGCUAACGCGUGAAGUUGACCGCCUGGGGAGUACGGCCGCAAGGUUGAAACUCAAAUGAAUUGACGGGG